CCCGGGCAUUGCCUCAGUACGGCGAGUGAGCGGCAAAAGCUCAGAUUUGAAACCCUCGGGAUUGUAAUUUGAAGAUUUGGCAUUGGAGAAAGCUAACCCAAGUUGCUUGGAAUAGUACAUCAUAGAGGGUGACAACCCCGUCUGGCUAACCGUUCUCCAUGUAUUGCCUUAUCAAAGAGUCGAGUUGUUUGGGAAUGCAGCUCAAAGUGGGUGGUAAACUCCAUCUAAAGCUAAAUACUGGUGAGAGACCGAUAGCGAACAAGUACUGUGAAGGAAAGGUGAAAAGAACUUUGAAAAGAGAGUGAAAUAGUAUGUGAAAUUGUUGAUAGGGAAGGAAAUGAGUGGAGAGUGGCCGAGGUUUCAGCCGCCCCUCGUGGGCGGUGUACUGCCGACGCCGAGUCAUCGAUAGCGAGACGAGGGUUACAAAUGGGAGCGCCUUUCGGGCGUUCUCCCCUAACCCUCCACACUGCCACCGACGACAUAAUCCACCCAUUUCACCCGUCUUGAAACACGGACCCCA
Molecule: ribosomal RNA, 520 nt
Filed under: Yarrowia lipolytica
Lineage: Eukaryota; Fungi; Ascomycota; Dipodascomycetes; Dipodascales
Description: eukaryotic LSU rRNA
Rfam family: Eukaryotic large subunit ribosomal RNA
Source: RNAcentral